CUCAUUUUGACUUUUCGGAACGGUUAGCUGCGUUUGGACGAUGGAUUAUCCUUGGAUCCAUCUUUUGAAGAUGAUAUAAAUAAUGAUGGGAACUCACUCUAUGCAGAAAUAACCGAGAAGAAUCGAACGUACUACAAAUGAACGAUUUGUGGCCAAAAUUUGUCGAGGAAACAAAGACUUGAAACCCUGACUCGAGUUGUGUUCACGGCAAAGCUUUAUGAUUAUUAUACCAGAUCUGUCUGGUGGACAACGGAGUUGAUUACAUGUCUAAUCACAUUCUACAGGUACAUUGCAUAUUGCACCUUAAAUUUUUCUCUGUUGUCCUUUAGGCAUGACCACAAUCUUCUCAAAUACUAUGCGUUGAGCUAUUAGUAUUUCUUGUAGUUUUUCUAGUCAGGAUAGUUCUGUGGGUAUUUCAUCCACAUACAUAUUGUUCACUACAGCCUGACAUGGGAAUUUUCCUUUUAUAACCUUUGAAUGACAUGUGUUGCUUAUAUACUGUUUUCCAUCAAAUGACUGUUGAAUAUUGAAAUAUAUUUUGCAAGAGUACUUCUUGUUUAUUCAUGUUAUCACUGAUUUCCUAUAACUGAAGUAUUCGAUUACAGGCAGUAUAUAUAAAAUAAGGGCCUUCUCUUAAACUGGUUAAUACACAAUUCAACUGAUCUGGCUUUCAUUAAUUUCUCAUUGUGUUGCAGGGAAAGUAAUUAUUUCUUUUAUAUAACAUCCAGAGUUGAAUAUUUUCUUUUAAUUUCCUCUAAACUCCUUUUUUUGGCAACAGGUUCCAUGCUGUCAUACAUGUGUUUUUGCCUGUGUUUUCUCAUGAUGCAUUUCCUUUCAAUUUCAGUAAUUUUAUAUGAACAGCAAAUAAAUUGUAUAUCAUAUUCCAAAGUCUGACAUUCUUGUUUAUUUUGAAUGAUAUUAUUAAUUUCCUCUACUAGAUUAUUCACACCACGAAUGUGUUUUGUCUGUUUCAUUGCAGAUGAAUGACUGUCUUCAUAUGUUAGAAGAGAAAAUAAUUGCUUUCCUUUUGUAUUUUGUUGAUAAAUACAAGCUAUACAGUAACUUGAAAUCCACAUUAAAAUGCCUGUUUUCCCAGUGUGGUUCC
Molecule: long non-coding RNA, 1105 nt
Organism: Stylophora pistillata
Lineage: Eukaryota; Metazoa; Cnidaria; Anthozoa; Scleractinia; Pocilloporidae
Source: RefSeq, a predicted model, not a curated record